This 633-nucleotide long non-coding RNA is filed under the name Rattus norvegicus (Norway rat). RNAcentral describes it as "long non-coding RNA NONRATT016837". The record is from RNAcentral. Lineage: Eukaryota; Metazoa; Chordata; Mammalia; Rodentia; Muridae.
CUUUCAGCUCUGUUGACUGCACCACACUUCCCCCUCCCAGGCUGCUUCCACUUGCAGCCUGCAGCUUUCCUCAGCUCUGGCAUCUUCAACGUCUGAGGCAUAAUGACUGCCUCAGUGUCAGCUAUCGUCAUCAGAGAAGAGGGAGACUCACUUGAGGAAAUGCCUCUAUGAGAUCCAGGUUUGCAGUACCUGUGGUGGCCAGAGAGGACUUUGGGGCCCCUGGAACUGGAGCCAGAGGUGGCUAUUGCACGUCUGCCUACAAAGAACUGCCUGGCUGCCAGUUUUGUUGAGAAGGAGAAAGGUAAAGAGACACCCUUUCUGCAGUGAAUUCCAGAACAAAGAUCUGGGGCCUGUUCAAGUCAUCCUAGCUGGCGACGCGGUUUCCUAUCAAGAAAUCUUAGAAAGUCAAAUGGCAUCUGCGAGUUAAUCAGCAGCAGUGAGAUCAGUUAUGAGCAGGUGCUGUGUCACCUUGAAGCGGGAUGGGCAGAUUCUUCUGACGCCAGAACACCGGAAGUUUCCAGGAGUGGCAGGACAUCCGGCUGUUGUUAUUCUUGGCCCUGCCCAGUGCAAGCAUAGAAAAGGCAGCUCGCUUAUUAGGGGUAUAAAUAAAGGCUCAAUUACCUCUUGCCGUGC